CUGCACUUAGAAGGCUUGCCACAACUGGUAACAUGAUUACCACUACAUAACAGACUGCCUUACAGCAAAUGAAGGAAAAGAGGGCAGAUGCUAAGGAAUCAAUGCUACUUAGAAAUUGAUGCCAGGCAGUAUUAAACAAAAAGGCCUGAUAAAUGUGAAAGCUUUCAAAUUCAAAUUAACUUUGGGGCUAAACACUCAAAUGCUUUGCUAUUGACAUCAAAAUAUGAAUUCUCUACCCAAGUAAGAUGUCUUAAAUCCAGAACAAUCUCAAAAUUGUCUUCUCUGGAGUUCCUCUAGAUUUACAGAGAUCAAAAGCAACAGCAGAACUUCACUCCGUAUUUGUUCCUUUUCAGUCAAAGUUAGAAGGCUUGCCAAAUUUAUGCCUUGAUAUCUAUUUGGCACAUAUUUUAUCUCAAUUCAAAAGGUGAACUAGGGGAAAAAGAAGCUGCUAAAAGAGCCUGGUUUGCCCAGAACCAUGUCUGCCAGAGAUUGUACAUUAUAAAUUUGGUGGGGGGGAUGGGAGUAAUGUGCCAAAACAGCUUUAAACCUCUUUUGCCCCCUCACACAGCUGGACCUUUUAUCAUCAGGCUAGGUGACCCAAGGGAUACUCGGACUCAUGGUGGCCACCAGCAGUUGCCAGAAGUAGGACAUGACCUGUCUACAAGGGAACACCAGAGCCAACCACAAGAGUUUUUGUGCUGCUUUGCCAAAGCAGAUUAUAGCAGCCCAGCACAGAGAAGAAUCCACUUCCUAGAUCAUCACCAAGGAUAAGGAGUCUUAAUUCAGACAUUACUAAUUUACAGAGCUUGAGAAUUACAUUGUUAAAGUUUAAUGAAGCUGUGAAAGUGGCCAAACGCUCACAGCCAUGUCAUAUGUGCUUAUUCUCAAAUCUGUGUGAGCUCCUCAACAUCUGCAGUAGGUAGCAAAGCAAUAAUAAGGAGUUGGAAUGAGAGGCAUUGCAUAGGCAACUACCAAGCUGUGUAGAUCUCAUCCAGCUGUGUAACAGCUUUGUUUUAAAGUCAUCAAAAAGGGGGUUGUUUAAAAACAAACAAGCACAUCUGACAAACCCGAUCAACUUCCUGAAGGCCCCAUGAAACUGCCAGUGUAACCAUAUGAUGUAAAAGAGAAGCUGGCCCGGGUGCCAGUUUGCAAGUGAAGCUCAUAACUGUCAAAACUCCAAUAGAAGCACAUGCUGAGGAGAAGAGUGAAGAGGUUUGGGGUUUUGCUCUAGCAGUAGAGGAAAGGGCACUUUAUCACCUGCUGAUACAUACAGGUUAAAUAUAGUUUGGCCACUUCAGCUGCAAGAGAUGAAUCUGAGAGAAGCUAAUUGGAAGACAGGUGCCACUUAACAAUUCUGUUUUGAAGUUCUUGUGAAGCAGUGAUGCAAAAAAACAUCAGAUCUUUGUUCACAGGGGCAAGAAUUCAGUUACAUUCACAGACAUCUUAAGGAGCUGACAAGACUGACCAGGAGAUGGAACAGGAGAUGCUACAGAUGAGCAGCACAAAAAAUUUAUGUUCCUCAAGGAGAAUUAUCUAAUAGGUAAAAUACAUCUGGGUUCUGCUAUGAUUUUGCUUUAGUAAAUGCAUUUAGAACUGCUGUAGUCACUCAAAACAAUUUUCAGGAACCAGUUUUCCAUCAAAAAAUGUUAUUUGUCAAAAUCAACCCAUUCAACAGGAAAAGAUACAUACUAGUGCUUCUGACAUAAUUUUUCUUACAAAAGUCCCAGUAAGGAAUAAAGCAAUUCAAAAUGCUGGCA
RNAcentral lists this long non-coding RNA (1757 nucleotides) under Apteryx rowi (Okarito brown kiwi). RNAcentral's name for it is "lncRNA (ENSARWG00000016929.1)". The record is from RNAcentral. Lineage: Eukaryota; Metazoa; Chordata; Aves; Apterygiformes; Apterygidae.